GACGAACGCUGGCGGCGUGCUUAACACAUGCAAGUCGAACGGAAAGGCCCUGCUUUUGUGGGGUGCUCGAGUGGCGAACGGGUGAGUAACACGUGAGUAACCUGCCCUUGACUUUGGGAUAACUUCAGGAAACUGGGGCUAAUACCGGAUAGGAGCUCCUGCUGCAUGGUGGGGGUUGGAAAGUUUCGGCGGUUGGGGAUGGACUCGCGGCUUAUCAGCUUGUUGGUGGGGUAGUGGCUUACCAAGGCUUUGACGGGUAGCCGGCCUGAGAGGGUGACCGGCCACAUUGGGACUGAGGUACGGCCCAGACUCCUACGGGAGGCAGCAGUGGGGAAUAUUGCACAAUGGGCGGAAGCCUGAUGCAGCAACUCCGCGUGCGGGAUGACGGCCUUCGGGUUGUAAACCGCUUUCGCCUGUGACGAAGCGUGAGUGACGGUAAUGGGUAAAGAAGCACCGGCUAACUACGUG
RNAcentral lists this ribosomal RNA (468 nucleotides) under uncultured bacterium. Its description in RNAcentral is "partial 16S ribosomal RNA". It matches the Rfam family "Bacterial small subunit ribosomal RNA", at positions 28 to 507 of the family's 1533-position model. The record is from RNAcentral.